GUGCCAGCAGCCGCGGUAAUACGUAGGGUGCAAGCGUUAAUCGGAAUUACUGGGCGUAAAGCGUGCGCAGGCGGUUGUGCAAGACCGAUGUGAAAUCCCCGGGCUUAACCUGGGAAUGGCAUUGGUGACUGCACGGCUAGAGUGUGUCAGAGGGGGGUAGAAUUCCACGUGUAGCAGUGAAAUGCGUAGAGAUGUGGAGGAAUACCGAUGGCGAAGGCAGCCCCCUGGGAUAACACUGACGCUCAUGCACGAAAGCGUGGGGAGCAAACAGGAUUAGAAACCCGCGUAGUCC
Molecule: ribosomal RNA, 292 nt
Filed under: uncultured bacterium
Lineage: Bacteria
Description: partial 16S ribosomal RNA
Rfam family: Bacterial small subunit ribosomal RNA
Source: RNAcentral